This 547-nucleotide ribosomal RNA is filed under the name Fusarium sp. 168DZ/F. RNAcentral describes it as "eukaryotic LSU rRNA". The stretch from base 181 to 334 matches the Rfam family "5.8S ribosomal RNA". Lineage: Eukaryota; Fungi; Ascomycota; Sordariomycetes; Hypocreales; Nectriaceae. The record is from RNAcentral.
UCCGUUAGGGGUACCUGCGGAGGGAUCAUUACCGAGUUUACAACUCCCAAACCCCUGUGAACAUACCUAUACGUUGCCUCGGCGGAUCAGCCCGCGCCCCGUAAAACGGGACGGCCCGCCCGAGGACCCCUAAACUCUGUUUUUAGUGGAACUUCUGAGUAAAACAAACAAAUAAAUCAAAACUUUCAACAACGGAUCUCUUGGUUCUGGCAUCGAUGAAGAACGCAGCAAAAUGCGAUAAGUAAUGUGAAUUGCAGAAUUCAGUGAAUCAUCGAAUCUUUGAACGCACAUUGCGCCCGCCAGUAUUCUGGCGGGCAUGCCUGUUCGAGCGUCAUUUCAACCCUCAAGCUCAGCUUGGUGUUGGGACUCGCGGUAACCCGCGUUCCCCAAAUCGAUUGGCGGUCACGUCGAGCUUCCAUAGCGUAGUAAUCAUACACCUCGUUACUGGUAAUCGUCGCGGCCACGCCGUAAAACCCCAACUUCUGAAUGUUGACCUCGGAUCAGGUAGGAAUACCCGCUGAACUUAAGCAUAUCAAAAGGCGGGAGG